AUUGAACGCUGGCGGCAGGCCUAACACAUGCAAGUCGAACGGUAACAGGAAGAAGCUUGCUUCUUUGCUGACGAGUGGCGGACGGGUGAGUAAUGUCUGGGAAACUGCCUGAUGGAGGGGGAUAACUACUGGAAACGGUAGCUAAUACCGCAUAACGUCGCAAGACCGAAGAGGGGGACCUUCGGGCCUCUUGCCAUCGGAUGUGCCCAGAUGGGAUUAGCUAGUAGGUGGGGUAACGGCUCACCUAGGCGACGAUCCCUAGCUGGUCUGAGAGGAUGACCAGCCACACUGGAACUGAGACACGGUCCAGGCUCCUACGGGAGGCAGCAGUGGGGAAUAUUGCACAAUGGGCGCAAGCCUGAUGCAGCCAUGCCGCGUGUAUGAAGAAGGCCUUCGGGUUGUAAAGUACUUUCAGCGGGGAGGAAGGGAGUAAAGUUAAUACCUUUACUCAUUGACGUUACCCGCAGAAGAAGCACCGGCUAACUCCGUG
This 490-nucleotide ribosomal RNA is filed under the name uncultured bacterium. RNAcentral describes it as "partial 16S ribosomal RNA". It matches the Rfam family "Bacterial small subunit ribosomal RNA", at positions 30 to 507 of the family's 1533-position model. The record is from RNAcentral.